AACGAACGCUGGCGGCAUGCCUAACACAUGCAAGUCGAACGAAGCCUUCGGGCUUAGUGGCGCACGGGUGCGUAACGCGUGGGAAUCUGCCCUUAGGUACGGAAUAACUCAGGGAAACUUGUGCUAAUACCGUAUGAUGUCGAGAGACCAAAGAUUUAUCGCCUAGGGAUGAGCCCGCGUAGGAUUAGCUAGUUGGUGGGGUAAAGGCCUACCAAGGCGACGAUCCUUAGCUGGUCUGAGAGGAUGAUCAGCCACACUGGGACUGAGACACGGCCCAGACUCCUACGGGAGGCAGCAGUGGGGAAUAUUGGGACAAUGGGCGAAAGCCUGAUCCAGCAAUGCCGCGUGAGUGAAGAAGG
RNAcentral lists this ribosomal RNA (359 nucleotides) under uncultured bacterium. RNAcentral's name for it is "bacterial SSU rRNA". It matches the Rfam family "Bacterial small subunit ribosomal RNA", at positions 29 to 414 of the family's 1533-position model. The record is from RNAcentral.